This 925-nucleotide long non-coding RNA is filed under the name Mytilus galloprovincialis (Mediterranean mussel). Lineage: Eukaryota; Metazoa; Mollusca; Bivalvia; Mytilida; Mytilidae. The record is from RNAcentral.
GCGUGUAGGUGGUAACUUGUUUUCUAGGUUACCUUAAAUUAAUAUAUUGGAUAUAUUUGGUAUGCGUCUAUCAGACAGCAACAUAACAACGCAAUGAUGAUGAAAACAAAAGACAUCCAUAGGCGAACAUAGUACGGUCGUCAACAAUAGACACAGAAGACAACCAUAGGCGAACAUAGUACGGUCGUCAACAAUCUAUAGGCGAACAUAGUACGAUCGUCAACUAUAGACAAGUUCUGUACUUCAUAUGAAAACUUUAAACUGCUCUGCAUGAAGACAAGUUUUGCAUGAGUCUUAUAGACAAAAACAAAAAAAGAAAUCUACAAUAUCUUAUCUUUCUUAGAAACACUUACUAGAGGGUUUUUUACUUCAAUCUAUAGUACGUCACUAUUGAUCAUUAUUGACUUAAAAUUCCUAAGUGAUUUCUACGAUAUUUGUUUUUAUGUUCUAAAGAUGCAUGCUCAAAUAUUGCGUUACUAUGACAUGUGCAUCCAACAUUGUCCAAAAACCAACAAAAAAAGCAUGAAAACAGUACUGGGAGGGUCUGGAUGGCAUUAACAAUUUAUCAGUAGUUCAGAAAAAAUGUCAAAAUAAAAAGAAUGAAGAAAAAUAAUUUAACAAAUACAGAUUAAGAAAUAAUGAGGUGUAAAAUAUAGCCGACUAGAGAAUAAUUGGCAAGAUAAAUAAAUAAUAUAGAAAACGGUAUAAAAAUUGAGAACACAUAUAUGAGAACCCCAUCAAAACCCCCUACUAGUGCGGGUACAGCAUUUGGUUUUUAAUCAUUAAAUUAUUAAAUACUUCGAAAUUCAUUUCAUGCCAAAAUUGACAAACAUGCUAUUGUUAAAAUUGUUAUCAUGAUGAAUAUUCUUUGAUGGGUUUUUAUUUUUUUUUACAUAUAUUGUAUUCAUAACUAAUAUCUAUCGCG